GCCAUGAAAUACCGGUUCUCGUUAGAUCACCGAAUCAAGCAUCAUUGGGCGCGGUCAGUACUUGGGUGGGUGACCACCUGGGAACACCGCGUGCCGUU
Molecule: ribosomal RNA, 98 nt
Filed under: Caerostris darwini
Lineage: Eukaryota; Metazoa; Arthropoda; Arachnida; Araneae; Araneidae
Source: RNAcentral